GGGGAAAAGAAGGGAAAAUAUGAAGGUAUUCCUGCCACCACACUAAAAUUUUCCACUCUAAAUAACAGGUAGGUGAAGUUCAAAUGAUAAAAGGAUAACCAGGUUGUAAUUAAAUUGAAACCAACAUUUUUAAAUCUUUCAUAACUUUUAAUUUCCUGUUUCUAAGUGCAAAUCACUCAACUGAACUUGUAGUCAUCUAUUUGUUUCAUAGUCAAUAUAGUAUUUAUAUUUAGGGCAAUCUACAUCUUCAGUCCACCCACUCUAAAGCAUAUCUGACAAGAGUAGUAAAUGAGGUGGCAGACCUAUCCCCACUCAACAAAUGGGAGAGGUGGAUAACCACCCUCAGGCGGAGGCCUUAGAGAGGGAGGCAGAUUGCUCAGUGAUGCUCCGGCCUUUUCUCUGAACACAUCACCUGGAAAAGAGGCUGAACCAAAAGGUUGACUACUUGAAUGGAAACCCUCUCUACUAUUUUCCCCUGGAGGGAGUCCCGUUUGGUUCACAGUUUGAGGGUUUUGCUUGGGAUGAUAAUAUUUGCAGGAGUCCCCAUACUGGCAAUACCCCGUUCGAACAAAGUGAUUGCAGACUCCUUUACCGAACGAGUCCGGAUCGUUAAAUAAUUGGGGAUUGCGCAAGGAGUCGUACCAAAGAGCCUUGGCUCUUUGAUGUUGAACACCUUGAAGAUGACGCCUCCGAGCAGCUGCGGUAUCCUGGAAUUCCUUAUCGCAGUAAUCGCAGUAGUAUUUACCCAACGGCAUUUUUUACUAAAACUAAAAUCCCAAUGCCUAAUGGCUUUUUAUAUGUUUGCCUGUACAAGUUUCCAGAUCUCGUUUAGGCUCCG
This 838-nucleotide unclassified non-coding RNA is filed under the name Hevea brasiliensis (rubber tree). Lineage: Eukaryota; Viridiplantae; Streptophyta; Magnoliopsida; Malpighiales; Euphorbiaceae. The record is from RNAcentral.